CCAAUAGCGUAUAUUAAAGUUGCUGCAGUUAAAAAGCUCGUAGUUGAAUUUCGGGAUCAAUAUGUCGGUCGUGCCUCGGUACGUACUGGCUUAUUGGUUUCUCCCUUCUGACGAACCAUGAUGUCAUUUAUUUGGUGUUGUGGGGAAUCAGGACUGUUACUUUGAAAAAAUUAGAGUGUUUAAAGCAGGCUCACGCUUGAAUACAUUAGCAUGGAAUAAUGAAAUAGGACGUUUGAUUCUAUUUUGUUGGUUUCUAGGAUCGACGUAAUGAUUAAUAGGGAUAGUUGGGGGCAUUAGUAUUCAAUUGUCAGAGGUGAAAUUCUUGGAUGUAUUGAAGACUAACUACUGCGAAAGCAUUUGCCAAGGAUGUUUUCAUUAAUCAAGAACGAAAGUUAGGGGAUCGAAGACGAUCAGAUACCGUCGUAGUCUUAACCAUAAACUAUGCCGACUAGGGAUCGGAUGAUGUUAAUUUUUUAAUGACUCAUUCGGCGCCUUACG
RNAcentral lists this ribosomal RNA (498 nucleotides) under uncultured Glomeromycotina. RNAcentral describes it as "partial small subunit ribosomal RNA". It matches the Rfam family "Eukaryotic small subunit ribosomal RNA", at positions 591 to 1092 of the family's 1831-position model. Lineage: Eukaryota; Fungi; Glomeromycota. The record is from RNAcentral.